AACAGAGUAGAUUCGUGUGCGUGAAGUGCGGAGUGAACGGGGAGUUGUCACUUUGACGAAAAGCCUUAGGCUUGCGGUAUACGGAUUGCAUCCCGCUGAU
This is a regulatory RNA element of Firmicutes bacterium CAG:41, 100 nucleotides long. It matches the Rfam family "THF (Tetrahydrofolate) riboswitch aptamer". From Rfam's summary of the family: THF riboswitch presents a pseudoknot that joins P1-P2 and the loop of P3 and two THF binding. The record is from Rfam. NCBI's taxonomy places the organism in Bacteria, Bacillati, Bacillota.